GGGGUUGUAGCUCAGUGGUAGAGCACUUAUCUUGUAUGUUUGAGGCAUUGGGUUCAAUCCUCAGCACCA
This 69-nucleotide transfer RNA is filed under the name Ictidomys tridecemlineatus (thirteen-lined ground squirrel). RNAcentral's name for it is "Spermophilus tridecemlineatus (thirteen-lined ground squirrel) tRNA". It matches the Rfam family "tRNA". Rfam says of the family: Transfer RNA (tRNA) molecules are approximately 80 nucleotides in length. The record is from Rfam by way of RNAcentral. Lineage: Eukaryota; Metazoa; Chordata; Mammalia; Rodentia; Sciuridae.